This 1332-nucleotide long non-coding RNA is filed under the name Lupinus angustifolius (narrow-leaved blue lupine). RNAcentral describes it as "long non-coding RNA (LANG_LNC003690)". The record is from RNAcentral. Lineage: Eukaryota; Viridiplantae; Streptophyta; Magnoliopsida; Fabales; Fabaceae.
UCCCCCAUAUCCAUUCACUCCAAUCUAGGUUAAUGCCCCACUACACACUACACAUAUGAUACUAUCAUCUUUCCCAACCAAACCCUCUCCCAAUAAUAAGUUAAUAAAUCCCAAAAGUUGCCCCUAAAAGCUUCGUUCGGUGUUGAGCAUUGAAGUGAGAAUAUUACUUCAUUAUCCCCAAACAUAAAUUUUGUAUCCACAAACUAGCCACGUGCACAUAUGCAGACAAGCAAACCCCAUCAAACCCUCUACCAUGUAUCUUUUUUGUUUUUUCACCCAUGAAAAAAUGAAUAUGAAAAUUCCAAAAGCAUUGGAAACCGAGUUGGUGGAGUUUUUUUCAUUCCCCACACACAAACAUGCCCUUAACCACAUUAGACCAAGAAUUUCAAGUUUUUAACUCCACCUUUUUUCUCUUCAUAUGCAUAUUAUAAACGAUAAAAAAUUACAAUAAUGUAGUAUAAUCAAAAGCUAAAAUCUCGCCUUUAUAUACUACCUAUCAUGACACUCCUUGUCCCUAUACUUACUCUCCCUUUCAUUUACUUCUUCUAAGCCUUAUAGCAUAUUAUAUAGCUAAAGAUAUAGCUUUUUGCCAUUUCCAUUUUUGAGCUUUGGUUAGCUUUGUUACUCAUUCAUAGCUUUUCCUUGCACCCACAUACAUGAAUUCUAAAGUGGUAUCUUCAAAAAUUCAGGUAGUAAUGAUAGCGGCGGAUGCUCGCUCCUGCGUGGACCGUGGCGGUGUACGGUGGAAGGGUUCUUCUACAAAGAAGAACCAAAGGUGAAGAUGAUGAAAGAACCAACAUAACACAGGCUUUGCAAUAACACUCUCACCCCACCAUGAUAUAUAAGGUGCAGAAUUGGUAGAGUGUGAUCAUUGCAUUGCGGGGAAUUGAGGGUAGCGGUCCGAAUUACCUUUAACUUUAGGUGUUUAUUUCUUGGUUUUUUAUUAUGUUUUCUUUCUUAAGUAUUUCCCACUGAUUUUCUCUUUUUUUGUUUUGUUUUAAAUUUCAAUAUAAUUAUGCUUAUGUUAUGAUGGAAGCAUGGGAUGUAAGAGAUGCAUACGAGGUUGCUGGGGUAGGUUAUGGUGUGUUUGGUCAAAUGGGUAGCAUGAGAGUUUUGUCUUAUGCUUGGAGGGUUAAUUUAGGGUCUCAAUGCAGCUGGCAUGCAUCACUUACACUCAUCAAUGUAGCUUUGUCAUGUGUUUGGUAUAAAGGAAAGUGACUUUGGUUUUCUAAAUUUCGUUCUUCUCUAUUGUGACACUCUUCAGCUUUUGAUUUCUCUUCCUUCGAUAGGAGAUGCAAAGUAGACAAUGAUAAGUUACCAAACAACCAGAAG